Molecule: unclassified non-coding RNA, 1642 nt
Filed under: Ceratitis capitata (Mediterranean fruit fly)
Lineage: Eukaryota; Metazoa; Arthropoda; Insecta; Diptera; Tephritidae
Description: uncharacterized LOC110118242, transcript variant X1
Source: RNAcentral
CAAGUGUGGAAGGAAUAAUAAACAAUGAGCGAUCAACGUCAGCGCCACAAAAGCACCAAAAUGAUGUGUGAAGGAUAAACAAUUUGGCAUACAAAAACAAAAAGGGGAGCGUAAAAUUGUUUUAAAACUUCAUUUACUCAUAUUGGCGUCUUGACGUUCCGGAGCAGACUCGCUUAUUUAUUUUGCUAGCAAUAACUGGAGAGUGGCGCCACUAGAACAAUGUCUAUCCCUUCGUUUUGGUUGGAUGCAACCUGCAGAUGUCGAUGAAGUUGCACACAUGUGCGAAGUAGUGGAACAAAAAGAACAACCAUUGAUUGACGAACGCACGAGACUCCAUGAACCCCAGACGUUGGCAACACCAAUUCAGAUGAAAGACUUUCUCAAGCAGGAGAGCUACAUAAAUCUGCUUAGGCGGUCGAAGUUACUGGGAAAGGUUGUCGCUGAAUCCCACUCGUCUUGAAGGAAAACCAUUUGGCCUCAUAUUUACAUACAAAGCAAGCCACAAGCUCAACAGCGUUUGCGGGAUUGCUGAAUUUAUGGUGAAAUUGAUAAUAAAAUAGAUUUGCUAUAGAGCCAAAUUUAUAGCUAUGCACAUAUGUAUAGAACAAUUGACUUUGACUUGAUAUGCUUGGUGGAUGUGAGCAAAAAAAUCUGCACAGCACGGAGGAAACAGCGCAGUCAUACAAGACGAACUUGCGACCAGCAUGUGUGGGCGUGAGAGGCAGGAGAUGGAGAUCAUCAGCUUUCAUUGACUUACAAGGGAAUUUAUGGAGACGCAAAAAAAAAAAAAAAUUGUAUUGAAAACACAACCGAAAGAUUGUAAAACAUCAACUGCUGAUAGCUACAGUCAAUAUUUAAAUACACACACGCGCACACACACUUACACUCAUAUACAAACAUCCAUAUACAUAUUUUUGCAUAUUUAUAUGCACAUCUGUAAGUAUCAGCGCAUUCAAGCCAUUUAACCUCCAACACAAAACUUUAUUAGCUUCGUUGAUAACCCACCGAAGAGCAACAUGACGCACACACUCACACUUGCACACGCUGAAGCUACCUCCAGUGCGCUUUACGUUCUUUGCAUACUUCUAAUUCACCACCCACAGCAUUAUUGUCUCUUGCCACUUUUCUUUAUACAUAUUUUUUGCUGUUGCUCUGUUGUUGCCUCCCUUUCGUGUUGUUGUUUUUUGGCAAGCCGCGUGUGGGUAGUCGUGUGGCGUAUUCAAUUCGCAAAUUUUUAUCCUGAUGAUUCUUUUGAUUAAACUAAUACUGCGUGUAUGCGCUCCCUGCUUGGUUUUGGGUUUUGUUUUUCGUACUUACUUAUUCAAUACUUCAUAUUUGAGUCUUUGGCUUGCGCGUUUUCAUCCCCAAAUAUUUUUUAAUGCUAUAACUUAUGCCACUUACUCUUUGCGCUCGAAAUCAAAGGUCAUAAAAGCGAAGCUCAGUGGGUGUAAGGCGUUGUUUGAAUUACAAAUUAAAUACUGCUGCUGUUCGAUUUAUUCAAAUUAGUGCUUUCGAAAUUCUUUUGCAAAAUUAUUUGCUAUUUUCCGCCUCAUUUGGUGGGUAGUCUUUGCCAUUUGGGCUUCUCCUUCGUUUUCUUGCAUAUUUUUAUAGUUAAAAAAUUUUUUUAAUUCAAUAACUCAUU